This 253-nucleotide ribosomal RNA is filed under the name uncultured bacterium. Its description in RNAcentral is "partial 16S ribosomal RNA". It matches the Rfam family "Bacterial small subunit ribosomal RNA", at positions 524 to 776 of the family's 1533-position model. The record is from RNAcentral.
UACGUAGGGGGCAAGCGUUGUCCGGAAUUAUUGGGCGUAAAGGGCACGCAGGCGGUUCCUUAAGUCUGAUGUGAAAGCCCGUGGCUCAACCACGGAUGGCCAUUGGAAACUGGGGAACUUGAGAACUGAAGAGGAGAGUGGAAUUCCACGUGUAGCGGUGAAAUGCGUAGAUAUGUGGAGGAACACCAGUGGCGAAGGCGACUCUCUGGUCGGUUUCUGACGCUGAGGUGCGAAAGCGUGGGUAGCAAACAGG